GACGAACGCUGGCGGCGUGCUUAACACAUGCAAGUCGAACGGAAAGGCCCCUUUGGGGGUACUCGAGUGGCGAACGGGUGAGUAACACGUGAGUAACCUGCCCUUUACUUCGGGAUAACUUCAGGAAACUGGGGCUAAUACCGGAUAGGAAUCCUUGCUGCAUGGUGGGGGUUGGAAAGCUUCUGCGGUUUUGGAUGAACUCGCGGCUUAUCAGCUUGUUGGUGGGGUAGUGGCUUACCAAGGCUUUGACGGGUAGCCGGCCUGAGGGGGCGACCGGCCACAUUGGGACUGAGAUACGGCCCAGACUCCUACGGGAGGCAGCAGUGGGGAAUAUUGCACAAUGGGCGGAAGCCUGAUGCAGCAACGCCGCGGGCGGGAUGACGGCCUUCGGGUUGUAAACCGCUUUCAGCAGGGGCGAAGCUUGUGGUGACGGUACCUGCAGAAGAAGCACCGGCUAACUACGUG
This 465-nucleotide ribosomal RNA is filed under the name uncultured bacterium. RNAcentral describes it as "partial 16S ribosomal RNA". It matches the Rfam family "Bacterial small subunit ribosomal RNA", at positions 28 to 507 of the family's 1533-position model. The record is from RNAcentral.